RNAcentral lists this small RNA (76 nucleotides) under Flavobacterium sp. 9. RNAcentral describes it as "Flavo-1 RNA". It matches the Rfam family "Flavo-1 RNA". The record is from RNAcentral. Lineage: Bacteria; Pseudomonadati; Bacteroidota; Flavobacteriia; Flavobacteriales; Flavobacteriaceae.
AUUUAGCCCUGAUCGAAGCGAUAUCCUUUUGUCGUGGGUUUCACGACAAAAGAUAUAGUGUAGAGCAGGAAAGGUG